GGGCGCGCGUUGAGGCUGCGGUCAUGGAGGGAGCAGGAGCUGGAUCCGGCUUCCGGAAGGAGCUGGUGAGCAGGCUGCUGCACCUGCACUUCAAGGAUGACAAGACCAAAGGUGCGGGUGGGGGUGCGGGCGGGAGGUGGGUCCCCGUGUCUGUCCUCAGGGACCCUUUCCUGCAACUCUGCAGGGCCAAGGCCUCGGGAGGGCGGGGGUAUGUCUGGAGCACCCAGCCAGAGCGGUGGGUGAGGGUCCCGCAUAACCUCCCCCUGCCUUGCAGUGAGCGGGGACGCGCUGCAGCUCAUGGUGGAGUUGCUGAAGGUCUUCGUUGUGGGUGAGCCCAGGGCCCACGCUCCCUCCGGGCACAGCAUCCGGAAUUUUGCGUUUUUCCAGCGGGAAAACCAAGACGUGUUUUCCCGUUUCCCACAAGGGCCUAAACUUGGGUCUCCUGAGCCUGUUUGUCAGGUGCUGUGGCCUGGUUCUGGGGGCUGCCCGUGGGUGUUGGGGGGGGCACCGGCCCAGGCUGAGGCCCUCACUGGGCUCGGGUUUAAGAUCCCCCCAGCAUCCCCCACCUCUCGCGUUUCUCACCGCAGAAGCAGCAGUCCGCGGCGUGCGGCAGGCCCAGGCAGAAGACGCGCUCCGUGUGGACGUGGACCAGCUGGAGAAGGUGCUUCCGCAGCUGCUCCUGGACUUCUAGGGAUCUCAGCCGUGGCUGAGGCCACCCCCAGAGGAGCCCCUGGUCCAC
This 739-nucleotide long non-coding RNA is filed under the name Homo sapiens (human). RNAcentral describes it as "non-protein coding lnc-DCXR-2:2". The record is from RNAcentral. Lineage: Eukaryota; Metazoa; Chordata; Mammalia; Primates; Hominidae.